Molecule: unclassified non-coding RNA, 303 nt
Filed under: Hevea brasiliensis (rubber tree)
Lineage: Eukaryota; Viridiplantae; Streptophyta; Magnoliopsida; Malpighiales; Euphorbiaceae
Source: RNAcentral
GGAAAGAAAGAGAGAGAAAGAGAGAGAAAGCGAAAGUAAGAAAGAAGCUAGGGAGCGAAGUUGCAAACUGUAGAGUGAGAAGUAAGCUGAAGAAUCUAUCCAACACGACACAUCCUAAUCCAAUCCAACGAAAAAAGCCACUCUAAGCUCAGUGGGCACAUAUGCCUAGGCCUACACACCUUAACAAGCUAACAACAAAUAAUGAGAACGGGGAAGAAAGAGUGCGUGGGAAAUGCACAUUUUUCGAUAAAAAUAAAAUAUGCAGUCUUGCAUUUGGCAUCUUUGUCACGGUUCUACAGAGGC